This 1334-nucleotide ribosomal RNA is filed under the name Prorocentrum consutum. RNAcentral describes it as "LSU rRNA". It matches the Rfam family "Eukaryotic large subunit ribosomal RNA", at positions 87 to 1357 of the family's 3401-position model. The record is from RNAcentral. Lineage: Eukaryota; Dinophyceae; Prorocentrales; Prorocentraceae.
UGGCGAACGAACAGGGAGUAGCUCAGCAUGGAAAUUGGGGCUUCUGGCCUCGAAUUGUAGACUUGAGAUGCACUGCCAACGGAGGUGCAGAUGUAAGCCUCUUGGAAAAGAGCAUCGACGAGGGUGCGAGUCCUGUUUGUCAUCUGCAGUCCCCCAUGUACGGCGCGCCUCCCAAGAGUCACGUUCCUCGGAACUGGAGCGCAAAGUGGGUGGUGGCUUUCAUCUCAAGCUCAAUACGGGUUCGAGACCGAUAGCAAACAAGUACCAUGAGGGAAAAGUGAAAAGGACUUUGAAAAGAGAGUUACAAGUGCCUGAAAUUGCUGAAAGGGAAGCGAAGGGAGCUGGUGUUGCUUGGCGACAUCUUCCGCGCGCUAAGGUGAUGGCUUGCUGCUUCGACGCAAGUGUAGCAGCGGGAUUUGACCUAGUCGCGCGCGGUGCUUCUUGCCCUGCUCGUCAACGCCAACUUGCAAAGGAGGAGCGCUCCAGGGACAUGGCUGUCUGUCUCCGGGUGUCCGAAAGUGCCUGGUGGAACUCAUUUGCGAGUUGACUCACUGGCGUCUGGUUGCAGCGCUCCGUGUCUGCUGGAUGCAGCAUCGGGGGCGUGGCCCUGACGCGCGGACGAGGACCAAGUGGUUCCAUUCGACCCGUCUUGAAACACGGACCAAGGAGUCUAACAUAUCUGCGAGCUCGCGGGCGUGUAAGCCUGUUUGCGCAAUUAAAGUGACUGCUGGGACUUGUGCACCAGCGCCCGAUCAAUCAACUGAGAGAGGUUUGAGUGUGAGCAUAUCUGUUAGGACCCGAAAGAUGGUGAACUAUGCCUGAGAAGGGCAAACUCAGGGGAAACUCUGGUGGAGGCUUGUAGCGAUACUGACGUGCAAAUCGUUCGUCAUACUUGGGUAUAGGGGCGAAAGACUAAUCGAACCAUCUAGUAGCUGGUUCCCUCCGAAGUUUCCCUCAGGAUAACUGGAGUUGAGCAGUUUUAUCAGGUAAAGCGAAUGACUAGAGGAAUCGGGGACGCGUCGUCCUCGACCUAUUCUCAAACUUUAAAUCGGUCAGAUCCAGUGGUUGCUUGGGUGAACUUCUGGGAUUAAUGACAACUCCAAGUGGGCCAUUUUUGGUAAGCAGAACUGGCGAUGAGGGAUGAACCUGACGUUGGGUUAAGGUGCUUAAGUGCUCGCUCAUCAGACACCAUAAAGGGUGUUGGUUCAUUUUAACAGCAGGACGGUGGUCAUGGAAGUCGAAAUCCGCUAAGGAGUGUGUAACAACUCACCUGCCGAAUGGACUAGCCCCGAAAAUGGAUGGCGCUCAAGCGGGUGACCGAAACUCAACCAUUG